GUUUGGUUAAGUUAGAAAGGGCGCACGGUGGAUGCCUUGACACUAGGAGUCGAUGAAGGACGGGACUAACGCCGAUAUGCUUCGGGGAGCUGUAAGUAAGCUUUGAUCCGAAGAUUUCCGAAUGGGGAAACCCACCAUACGUAAUGGUAUGGUAUCCUUAUCUGAAUACAUAGGGUAAGGAAGACAGACCCAGGGAACUGAAACAUCUAAGUACCUGGAGGAAGAGAAAGCAAAUGCGAUUUCCUGAGUAGCGGCGAGCGAAACGGAACAUAGCCCAAACCAAGAGGCUUGCCUCUUGGGGUUGUAGGACAUUCUAUACGGAGUUACAAAGGAACGAGGUAGACGAAGCGACCUGGAAAGGUCCGUCGUAGAGGGUAACAACCCCGUAGUCGAAACUUCGUUCUCUCUUGAAUGUAUCCUGAGUACGGCGGAACACGUGAAAUUCCGUCGGAAUCUGGGAGGACCAUCUCCCAAGGCUAAAUACUCCCUAGUGAUCGAUAGUGAACCAGUACCGUGAGGGAAAGGUGAAAAGCACCCCGGAAGGGGAGUGAAAGAGAUCCUGAAACCGUGUGCCUACAAAUAGUCAGAGCCCGUUAACGGGUGAUGGCGUGCCUUUUGUAGAAUGAACCGGCGAGUUACGAUCCCGUGCGAGGUUAAGCUGAAGAGGCGGAGCCGCAGCGAAAGCGAGUCUGAAUAGGGCGUUUAGUACGUGGUCGUAGACCCGAAACCAGGUGAUCUACCCAUGUCCAGGGUGAAGUUCAGGUAACACUGAAUGGAGGCCCGAACCCACGCACGUUGAAAAGUGCGGGGAUGAGGUGUGGGUAGCGGAGAAAUUCCAAUCGAACCUGGAGAUAGCUGGUUCUCCCCGAAAUAGCUUUAGGGCUAGCCUUAAGUGUAAGAGUCUUGGAGGUAGAGCACUGAUUGGACUAGGGGUCCUCAUCGGAUUACCGAAUUCAGUCAAACUCCGAAUGCCAAUGACUUAUCCUUAGGAGUCAGACUGCGAGUGAUAAGAUCCGUAGUCAAAAGGGAAACAGCCCAGACCGCCAGCUAAGGUCCCAAAGUGUGUAUUAAGUGGAAAAGGAUGUGGAGUUGCUUAGACAACUAGGAUGUUGGCUUAGAAGCAGCCACCAUUUAAAGAGUGCGUAAUAGCUCACUAGUCGAGUGACUCUGCGCCGAAAAUGUACCGGGGCUAAAUACACCACCGAAGCUGCGGAUUGAUACCGAAUGGUAUCAGUGGUAGGGGAGCGUUCUAAGGACAGUGAAGUCAGACCGNAAGGACUGGUGGAGUGCUUAGAAGUGAGAAUGCCGGUAUGAGUAGCGAAAGACGGGUGAGAAUCCCGUCCACCGAAUGCCUAAGGUUUCCUGAGGAAGGCUCGUCCGCUCAGGGUUAGUCAGGACCUAAGCCGAGGCCGACAGGCGUAGGCGAUGGACAACAGGUUGAUAUUCCUGUACCACCUCUUUAUCGUUUGAGCAAUGGAGGGACGCAGAAGGAUAGAAGAAGCGUGCGAUUGGUUGUGCACGUCCAAGCAGUUAGG
Molecule: ribosomal RNA, 1535 nt
Filed under: Bacillus thuringiensis serovar yunnanensis
Lineage: Bacteria; Bacillati; Bacillota; Bacilli; Caryophanales; Bacillaceae
Description: bacterial LSU rRNA
Rfam family: Bacterial large subunit ribosomal RNA
Source: RNAcentral